CCUACGGGUGGCAGCAGUGGGGAAUAUUGCACAAUGGGGGAAACCCUGAUGCAGCGACGCCGCGUGAGCGAUGAAGUAUUUCGGUAUGUAAAGCUCUAUCAGCAGGGAAGAAGAUGACGGUACCUGACUAAGAAGCCCAGGCUAACUACGUGCCAGCAGCCGCGGUAAUACGUAGGGGGCAAGCGUUAUCCGGAUUUACUGGGUGUAAAGGGAGCGUAGACGGCGAUGGAAGUCAGAUGUGAAAGUCCCGGGCUCAACCCCGGGACUGCAUUUGGAACUGUGGGGCUGGAGAGUCGGAGAGGCAGGCGGAAUGCCUAGUGUAGCGGUGAAAUGCGUAGAGAUUAGGAGGAACACCAGUGGCGAAGGCAGCCUGCUGGACUAUGACUGACGUUGAGGCUCGAAAGCGUGGGGAGCAAACAGGAUUAGAUACCCGAGUAGUC
RNAcentral lists this ribosomal RNA (440 nucleotides) under uncultured bacterium. RNAcentral's name for it is "partial 16S ribosomal RNA". It matches the Rfam family "Bacterial small subunit ribosomal RNA", at positions 338 to 795 of the family's 1533-position model. The record is from RNAcentral.